Molecule: ribosomal RNA, 430 nt
Filed under: uncultured bacterium
Lineage: Bacteria
Description: bacterial SSU rRNA
Rfam family: Bacterial small subunit ribosomal RNA
Source: RNAcentral
AUUGAACGCUGGCGGCAUGCCUUACACAUGCAAGUCGAACGGUAACGGGCCUUCGGGUGCCGACGAGUGGCGAACGGGUGAGUAAUAUAUCGGAACGUGCCCAGUAGUGGGGGAUAGCCCGGCGAAAGCCGGAUUAAUACCGCAUACGACCUGAGGGUGAAAGCGGGGGAUCGCAAGACCUCGCGCUAUUGGAGCGGCCGAUAUCAGAUUAGCUAGUUGGUGGGGUAAAGGCCUACCAAGGCAACGAUCUGUAGUUGGUCUGAGAGGACGACCAGCCACACUGGGACUGAGACACGGCCCAGACUCCUACGGGAGGCAGCAGUGGGGAAUUUUGGACAAUGGGCGCAAGCCUGAUCCAGCAAUGCCGCGUGCAGGAAGAAAGGCCCUUCGGGUUGGUUAAACGUAGCUUUUGUUCUAGGGGAAGGAAAAG